This 468-nucleotide ribosomal RNA is filed under the name uncultured bacterium. Its description in RNAcentral is "partial 16S ribosomal RNA". It matches the Rfam family "Bacterial small subunit ribosomal RNA", at positions 28 to 507 of the family's 1533-position model. The record is from RNAcentral.
GACGAACGCUGGCGGCGUGCUUAACACAUGCAAGUCGAACGGAAAGGCCCUGCUUUUGUGGGGUGCUCGAGUGGCGAACGGGUGAGUAACACGUGAGUAACCUGCCCUUGACUUUGGGAUAACUUCAGGAAACUGGGGCUAAUACCGGAUAGGAGCUCCUGCUGCAUGGUGGGGGUUGGAAAGUUUCGGCGGUUGGGGAUGGACUCGCGGCUUAUCAGCUUGUUGGUGGGGUAGUGGCUUACCAAGGCUUUGACGGGUAGCCGGCCUGGGAGGGUGACCGGCCACAUUGGGACUGAGGUACGGCCCAGACGCCUACGGGAGGCAGCAGUGGGGAAUAUUGCACAAUGGGCGGAAGCCUGAGGCAGCAACGCCGCGUGCGGGAUGACGGCCUUCGGGUUGUAAACCGCUUUCGCCUGUGACGAAGCGUGAGUGACGGUAAUGGGUAAAGAAGCACCGGCUAACUACGUG